AUGUUAAGUAUUUCUGUUUUCUCCACAGAUCUUCACACCUGUCAGAUGACAAAAGGUCAGAUCAAAUCAAAUCAAAGUGCCCGAAGGAAAUUAGUCUGGAACUGUCUGCUGCCCCUCCAGGUCCCCUUUACUCAUGGGCUUCUGAAGUACCUUAUGAGAGCAUCAGCACUAGGUGGCGCUAUGUUACCAUGAAGACUGCCGGGGGGGGACCACAGUUUUCAAGUUGGCUGGUAGAAACAGGAGUCAGGUGGUGGAUAGGAGACAUAUGGACAACUGUAUACUGGUAAUGACCACUGUUUGUGGAGCUCCUUCUAUUUCAGUGUUAUGCUGCAUCAUGUGUUCAAUGCAUAUUUAUAAGAGAGGUCUGAUAUCAC
Molecule: long non-coding RNA, 374 nt
Filed under: Microcebus murinus (gray mouse lemur)
Lineage: Eukaryota; Metazoa; Chordata; Mammalia; Primates; Cheirogaleidae
Description: lncRNA (ENSMICG00000048511.1)
Source: RNAcentral